This 821-nucleotide ribosomal RNA is filed under the name uncultured marine group I thaumarchaeote. Its description in RNAcentral is "SSU rRNA". It matches the Rfam family "Archaeal small subunit ribosomal RNA", at positions 31 to 857 of the family's 1478-position model. Lineage: Archaea; Thermoproteati; Nitrososphaerota. The record is from RNAcentral.
UAUCGGAUUGAUACUAAGCCAUGCGAGUCUUUGUAGUAAUACAAGGCAGACGGCUCAGUAACACGUAGUCAACCUACCCUAUGGACAAGAAUAAUCUCGGGAAACUGGGCAUAAUUCUUGAUAGAUCAUAAUGCCUGGAAUGGUUUAUGGUUAAAAUGAUUCGUCGCCAUAGGAUGGGACUGCGGCCUAUCAGCUUGUUGGUGAGGUAAUGGCCCACCAAGGCGAUUACAGGUACGGGCUCUGAGAGGAGAAGCCCGGAGAUGGGUACUGAGACACGGACCCAGGCCCUAUGGGGCGCAGCAGGCGAGAAAACUUUGCAAUGUGCGAAAGCACGACAAGGUUAAUCCGAGUGAUUUCUGCUAAAGAAAUCUUUUGCCAGUCAUAAAACCACUGGUGAAUAAGGGGUGGGCAAGUUCUGGUGUCAGCCGCCGCGGUAAAACCAGCACCUCAAGUGGUCAGGAUGAUUAUUGGGCCUAAAGCAUCCGUAGCCGGCUUUGUAAGUUUUCGGUUAAAUCCAUGUGCUCAACGCAUGGGCUGCCGAAAAUACUGCAUGGCUAGGGAGUGGGAGAGGUAGACGGUACUCAGUAGGAAGGGGUAAAAUCCUUUGAUCUAUUGAUGACCACCUGUGGCGAAGGCGGUCUACCAGAACACGUUCGACGGUGAGGGAUGAAAGCUGGGGGAGCAAACCGGAUUAGAUACCCGGGUAGUCCCAGCUGUAAACGAUGCAGACUCGAUGAUGCAUUGGCAUAAUAGCCAGUGCAGUGUCGCAGGGAAGCCGUUAAGUCUGCCGCCUGGGAAGUACGUACGCAAGUAUGAAACUU